GGAAAUCACGUAACUGCUCUGAGCCUCAGCAUCCCUUCUAUCAAAUAAAAAAAGUAUAAUAAAGAUCAUCUUUCAGGGUAACAUAGAAAACUUCAGGCCAGGCAUGGUGGGUCAUACCUGUAAACCCAGCACUUUGGGAGCCUGAGGCGGAUGGAUCACCUGAGGUCAGGAGUUCGAGACCAGCCUGAACAAUAUGGUGAAACCCUGUCUCUACUAAAAAUACAAAAAUUAGUGGAUGUGGUGGUGCGCGCCUGUAAUCCCAGCUACUCCAGAGGCUGAGGCAGGAGAAUCGCUUGAACCCGGGAGGCAGAGGUUUCAGUGAGCCGAGAUCGCACCACUGUACUGCAGCCUGGGCGACAGAGCGAGAUGCUGUCUCGAGGAAAAAAAAAAAGAAAGAAAACUUCAUAUGUUUCACAGGAUGAUACUCAUACAUAUGGAAAAGGCAUACAGCUGUAUCUGAGACAAUUCAUUACCAACUACGGAUAAACUAGUUAAGAUAUAGGAUAUGCUGACAACGGGUCACCAUCUGUAAAAUGUGUUUAUGGAAAAUAAAACAUGGAUUUCCUAUGCCUAUACCUGCAACCUUCUUCUGAUUCAGCAGCAACCCUAAUGUCUCUUCUUCUACCUUCUAGAAGUUUACCACUUUCAUGCUACUACUUUUAACAUAUUUCAAAACAGUGAGAUUCAAA
RNAcentral lists this long non-coding RNA (689 nucleotides) under Pan troglodytes (chimpanzee). RNAcentral's name for it is "long non-coding RNA NONPTRT005148". The record is from RNAcentral. Lineage: Eukaryota; Metazoa; Chordata; Mammalia; Primates; Hominidae.